This 405-nucleotide ribosomal RNA is filed under the name uncultured bacterium. Its description in RNAcentral is "bacterial SSU rRNA". It matches the Rfam family "Bacterial small subunit ribosomal RNA", at positions 137 to 518 of the family's 1533-position model. The record is from RNAcentral.
ACCGGAUAGCCCAGGGAAACCUGGAUUAAGUACCGGAUGAGACGGGACCUGCGAGUGGCGGGUAGUCCGGGAAAAGGCGCUACGGCGCCGCCGGGGGGAUGAGUCUGCGUCCCAUUAGCUAGACGCGGGGUAACGGCCCACCGUGGCGACGGAUGGGUAGCCGGCCUCGAGAGGGUGGACGGCCACAUUGGAACUGAGACACGGUCCAGACUCCUACGGGAGGCAGCAGCUAAGAAUCUUCCGCAAUGGGCGAAAGCCUGACGGAGCGAACCGCCGCGUGAACGAAGAAGGCCGUGAGGUUGUUAAAGUUCUUUUCGGGAAGGGGGGAACAACCGUGGCAGGGAAUGGCCGCGGGAUGACGUGAAUCCCGGAAUAAGCCCCGGCUAACUACGUGCCAGCCGCCGC